CCCAAAAUAAGUCUACCAUAGGCAUCACGCUUGGUGGGUUGCAAACCUGCUUUGCCUGCUGGACCAUUUGAAGGGGCAUCUAAGACAAGCACCCCACUUACUCCUAACUGCUCCACAGAUUGAUCAGGUGCAAACUUAAUGCCUAAAAUAGGUCUCGUAACUUUUCCAAACUUCACUAACUGUUCAACAAUGCCACCUACAGUAUCAACAGGAAUUGAAAAUCCAACGCCAGAGGAUGCACC
RNAcentral lists this unclassified non-coding RNA (242 nucleotides) under Hevea brasiliensis (rubber tree). Lineage: Eukaryota; Viridiplantae; Streptophyta; Magnoliopsida; Malpighiales; Euphorbiaceae. The record is from RNAcentral.